Molecule: ribosomal RNA, 301 nt
Filed under: uncultured bacterium
Lineage: Bacteria
Description: partial 16S ribosomal RNA
Rfam family: Bacterial small subunit ribosomal RNA
Source: RNAcentral
CAGUAGCCGCGGUAAUACGGAGGGUGCAAGCGUUACUCGGAAUCACUGGGCGUAAAGGACGCGUAGGCGGAUUAUCAAGUCUCUUGUGAAAUCCAACGGCUUAACCGUUAAACUGCUUGGGAAACUGAUGAUCUAGAGUAAGGGAGAGGCAGAUGGAAUUCUUGGUGUAGGGGUAAAAUCCGUAGAUAUCAAGAAGAAUACCUAUUGCGAAGGCGAUCUGCUGGAACUUAACUGACGCUAAUGCGUGAAAGCGUGGGGAGCAAACAGGAUUAGAUACCCCCGUAGUCCCUGUCUCUUAUAC